RNAcentral lists this non-coding RNA (148 nucleotides) under Gorilla gorilla gorilla (western lowland gorilla). Lineage: Eukaryota; Metazoa; Chordata; Mammalia; Primates; Hominidae. The record is from Rfam by way of RNAcentral.
GCUGGGCGUGGUGGCACACGCCUGUAGUCCCAGCUAUUCAGGAGGCUGAGGCAGGAGAAUUGCUUGAACCCAGGAGGCAGAGGUUGCAGUGAGCCAUGAUCAUGCCACUGCACUCCAGCCUGGGCGACAGAGCAAGACCCUGUCUCAA